GUCUAUGGCAUACUACCCUGAAUGUGCCCGGUCUUAUCUGAUCUCAGAAACUAAGUAGUGUCAGGUCUGGUCAGUACUUUAAUGGGAGAUCACAUGGGAAUACUGGGUGCUGUAGGUA
This 118-nucleotide ribosomal RNA is filed under the name Propithecus coquereli (Coquerel's sifaka). Lineage: Eukaryota; Metazoa; Chordata; Mammalia; Primates; Indriidae. The record is from RNAcentral.